GACGAACGCUGGCGGCGCGCCUAACACAUGCAAGUCGAACGAGCGAGAGAGAGCUUGCUUUCUCAAGCGAGUGGCGAACGGGUGAGUAACGCGUGAGGAACCUGCCUCAAAGAGGGGGACAACAGUUGGAAACGACUGCUAAUACCGCAUAAGCCCACAGGUCGGCAUCGACCAGAGGGAAAAGGAGCAAUCCGCUUUGAGAUGGCCUCGCGUCCGAUUAGCUAGUUGGUGAGGUAACGGCCCACCAAGGCAACGAUCGGUAGCCGGACUGAGAGGUUGAACGGACACAUUGGGACUGAGACACGGCCCAGACUCCUACGGGAGGCAGCAGUGGGGAAUAUUGCACAAUGGGGGAAACCCUGAUGCAGCGACGCCGCGUGGAGGAAGAAGGUCUUCGGAUUGUAAACUCCUGUUGUGGAGGAAGAUAAUGACGGUACUCAACAAGGAAGUGACGGCUAACUACGUG
RNAcentral lists this ribosomal RNA (466 nucleotides) under uncultured bacterium. RNAcentral's name for it is "partial 16S ribosomal RNA". It matches the Rfam family "Bacterial small subunit ribosomal RNA", at positions 28 to 507 of the family's 1533-position model. The record is from RNAcentral.